Cyprinus carpio carpio is the source of this 1236-nucleotide long non-coding RNA. The record is from Ensembl. Lineage: Eukaryota; Metazoa; Chordata; Actinopteri; Cypriniformes; Cyprinidae.
GCUCUAUUUUAAUACUGCAUUAAUUAUAAAAAUUGUAUAAAAUGUUUUUCUUUUUUUAAAAUAAAAGUAAAUAGCAUAUUAAAGGUAAAUACUGUUUAGCACUGAGAAAUCACCUCAAAAUACAAAAUAAGUAUUUAUUAUUUAAAUAUUAUAGUAUGUUAAUUUGUGAAAAUGAUAUUUAGUCUUCACACAGUCCAUCAUCCAGACGUAUCGAUCAUGUUCAGGAUGAAUGAAUGAGUGUCAUCAGAUGAAUGUGUGAACUGAUGAUGAUUUCACUGAUUUGAUGGGUGAGUGUAAAAUAACAUUCAAAUCUGAUCUUAUACAAUUCGUUUUUAAAAGUUACGACCAUGUUAUAAAACAACAAACCUUUGGUUCCAAACAGACACAGAAUGCAAAACUAUUAUCCAGGUUUUGAGGGCUGAUUUCACGUGAUGCUAAAACAGAAGCAGCACAAUUAAAGGUUGAUUAGGUUAUUAUCCCUCAUCUGUGUCACGGCAUCAAUUAAUGCGCUUGACGGCUGAGAGAUUGUCACCCUUCUGCAGAAACCUCUUCCCAUCGUUCACAGAGAAAGUUUCCCGCAGCUGUUUUCCGGCGGCAUUAACUGCUGUCAUCCAGAAACAACAGCAGCACAGCGGUGUCAAUUAUAUUUGAUUGACUGAGUAAAGCAGCACACAAAUAAGCCCAAACAAUGGACACAAAAAUCUAUAGACGACUCUCCUCCUGUCAAAUCAAGCGCUCGUCUGCUCCAUUUUCAUGCCGCACAACAGCCUUAAACACACCGUCUGUCUCUCUCUCUCUCUCUCUCUCUCUCUCUGUGCGCCUGUCUCUCUCUCAUCCGGCUCCAAUUAAAGCUGCUGUUUCAGAGCCGAGCUGUAAACCAGCUCUGAUUCAUCAGCACACAUCAGCUCCUGGAAUAAAAUAUUCUCCUUUCACGAGCAUUAAACUGGGUUCAGAGUUCAUUUCUGCAGGGAAACUCGCUCACGUUCAGAUCAGAGCAAAUCUCUCGUGCUUCACUCCUCUUUAGCAUCUGCUAAAUGCAUUAAUGUAAAUGCGCACUAAUGUAAAUGCGCACUAAUGUAAAUGCGCACUAAUGCAUGUGUGGAAUAGUCGAACAGGGUUUCUGUUUCAUGCAAAAAUGGCAAAAGGUCUUGUUUUCUGAUAAAUGGAUCAAAAUGAAGUGAGUUUAUGAUUAAAACGAGAACAAAUAUCUGCCAAUGAGCUAAAAAUCAACUUAAU